Molecule: non-coding RNA, 1693 nt
Organism: Pelodiscus sinensis (Chinese soft-shelled turtle)
Lineage: Eukaryota; Metazoa; Chordata; Testudines; Trionychidae
Source: RefSeq, a predicted model, not a curated record
GCGUACCAAUGGCACAAUUCUUUGUUCUUUGGAAAUACCAUGACAAGGCAGGAAAAGCUCUGAAGUCAGAAUGUCUCCUCGCUGGGAACUGUGCUUUCCUUUGCUUCGCUGUUUAGAAGAAAGAUAUGUAGUUCAGUCUCUCAAACUUUCCCAGUUUGCUAGAAAUUCAUUUAGACUUAUUCCUCUUUCUCAUUUAACUCAAGUGAUCAAGAUUCUGGAUUUCUGAAUAGUAGAUCUAAAUUCUGUCCCCACUGAGAUUUAUAUUGUCUCAUCAUUGAUUAUGAACCUCUUUUUCUGUUCUAGCCGAACAAGAGACUCAGGCCAUGUCUAGACUACAAACUUUUGUUCGUAUUCCUGUGUUGGUCAGAGAUGCUCCAGUGGUUGGCAGCCUUACCAGACAUCUAUAUUUGGAAAUAAUCCAUGGCUCAAAGAUCCCCACAUAACAUUUAGCCAGUUUUUGGCUAAGCUCCAUGCUUGUAUGAAGAGAUGCAGCAGUAGCAUGAAAUAUACUGCUAUGAACAGAGAACGAAACAUUCAGUUCUUGUAUUCCUGAAAGCCAUGUUGACAGAAGUCUCUUGCUCAUGCAUGCAAAGCGGAAGAAGAGGGGAUAAGAGCCAUGUCUUAUCACCUAAAACUACCCAGACACUGGAAACUUCCCAUGACAAGUCAUUGCUUAUAAUGACAGAGGAAAUAUUUUAAUGUUAAUAGCAUCGUGAUAUGGUGAUUAUUCUGUUUUUUGUUGUUUUCUUCCCCAAAAUGAUUCUGAAGUGUUUCAGUAGGGAUUAUAAAGUAUAUGGAAAACAACUUUUUGAGACUAUUCUGCCAUCAUCUCUUUUCAGGAUUUUAUCCUCUUUUUAUUAUAUUGAGGUGUUUCCUAAGGGCUGGUCUACACACAGACUUUCACAGAAAUAUCUAAUUCAGUUGUAACUGAGACCUCUUGUUAUUACGGUGCCACCCUAUGCGUGGACAUUCUUAUUUUGGUAUGAGGAAUACCUACACUGAUUUUGUGUACAUUGGUGUUUUACUGACUUCAGUUGAAUUAAAGUAGGUCAUUUUAAUUCUGAAAUACAUAGACUGCAACCAAAGCAACAAAUUUUGUCAAAUACAACUUAUUGAGGCUAUUCCCAUGCUACCAUUUAUUUUGGUAUAACUUCUAUGGGGGGUGGAGGAACAUGGAGUAGUCAAGCUAAUGGGCAAGCUCUCUCCCAUCACGUUAGAGAGACUGCACUAGAGACCUUACACCCAGCACAAAUGUUUGGGUGCAGCUGCAUCACUAUAAGUUCUCUAAUGUAGCCAUAUCCUGAGGCCAUGUCUACACACAGUGCUGCAGUGGAGCAGCUGCACCAGUACAGUUGCACAACUGCAGCAUGUCUGGAGAAGACAUUUUAUGCUGACGAGUGAGAGCUCUCCCAUUUGCAUUUAAAAAAAUAAACCUUUGCAAGAGGUAUGUCGAGAGGAGAAGCCCUCCCACUUACUUAGUCUGUCCACACUGGCUCUUAUAUCAAUGUAACUGAUAUCACUCAGUGGGUUGGGGUGUGGGGCAAGAAGGGAUUUUCCCACUCCUGAGAGACGAACUUAUGUCAACCUAGCCUGAGUUAUUUUGGUGUGAAUUUAUAUGAGAACAAGGCUUACAUUUUCUCCAGCUGUAUUAGAAUAUUUGGCCUAACUGCACUAUAAAAUAACUUCUAGAUAA